GCGCAUGCGCACACACACACACACACGCGCGCGCGCCUCAGCCCCCUCAGCACCCCUCACUCCUAUCCCUUCCCUCCGCUGUCGUUCGUGCUGCUCGAUGCCGGCACCGUCGUCUUCGUUAGCGCGUGCAGGCUCGCGCAUGCACCGGCAGGUCUCUCGCAUUGACCGCCAGACGGCCCAAAAGCUCUUCCCGCGGGAGCAGCGGCUGCAGUGGCCCACCGGCUAUCUCCCGGCAAGUGGCGUCGCCCACCUCCUCCACCCCGACGGCGUCCCAUUUCACGAGGUAUUGGAGUGCUACAUGGACAUAAAAAGAGACCGGCAGCAUGAGCUGCAGCGCGACUUCGCGUCCGAUUACACGCUCUGGAACCGUUGCUCGCUCGAGGACUUUGUGCGCAAACUCGACGCUCACCGGCGGCGUUGCUUCACGCGGCUAACGGCCCGCGAUCGUCUCGUGCACGACGCCGACGUGCGGCAGGUGUUCCAGCUAGCGCCAUAUCUGCCACCACCGCCUGUCGCCAUCACCGACAGCCCUUCAUCGCGUGCGCGAGUGUCACCCCCGUUACAGGCGUCCGCCGCUGCCGCAGCAAGCACGACUUCAGCGAGCAAGGAGGAGAGGCCGGCGUACUACCAGUUCCAGCCCUACGCGGCGACGCAGGAGUACGCCAUGCUGCCCGUGCAAGGCGUUCGGUCACCGCAGCAGCGCGUGCGCUUUUCGACUUUCCCCCAAAUUCGAAAUCUGCUCCACACGGACUUCGACUCCAUGACAGCGCUGCGUGCGCUGAGCUUGUACUGCGAAGAUGGGAUACUGUACACGAGAGAGCUGGUGCAAGUCGUGGCCCUGUACAUUCGGCGGCGGCUAGAAGAGAUUCAGGAAGCAGAGGCGUCCUUCCUGUACGCUGCGGCGGAGGCCUCGCCGUCGUGCACCCCGCUCCCGACGUUUUCGUCGGCGUCACCGGUGCUCGUCUUCUUCGGCAACGGCCGUCUGGCUUGGAUGCUGAAUGAGAGUGGCCUGCUGCCCAAGACGGUGCGCGCGGUGCAGCUGCCACGGCAGGAUGCGCAGCGCAGACGCCGGCACACGCAUCUGCUGCAGCAGCAGGAAACGCUCGAGAGCGACUUCGGGUUUCACAAGAGCUUCACGGCCAUCUUUCCCUGCGAGACGCUCUCCGUCGGUGACGCACUUCGCAAGUACAAGCCGGCGAUGGCGUUGGUGGAGCCGCACGUGGACCGGGAUUACAUGUCGGACAUCCGCGGCUACUACAGCGUACGAGAGGUGGUGGCGAUGGGGCCCAUCGACUCCCCGGCCAUGGGCAGCUUCGCCUACCCGUUCCUGAGCUUCGGCGUUACGCCUGGGCCGACCACGUACUGGGCGUACAACGACCACCUGCACAAGGUGCACGCCUCGGAACGAAUCCAGAUGCCAAUGGACGCGCCGCACGAAUCACAAGGGUACGAACGGCACUACGUCGAUGACAUCUCGGCGUACCUAAUCGCGCCCAACGACUGCGCCGCCAUUGGCAGACAGUUCCGCUGCCUCGCCUUUCGCCGUGUGCGGCCGCCGGUGCUGAAGCCCGCGAGCGCAGCAGCGGCCACGGCGCUGCAGUCGUCGAAAGAGACGGUGGAGUCGAAUCCAGAGCGGGCAUGGCCAUGUAACCGUGGUGCAACGGGUAUUAGCCAGACACGCUAAGGACGCCCUCGCCCGUGUGCGUCUGCGCGGACGAUGAGCCUCUCCGCCACCUCCACCGGGCGCCGCCGCCCUUCUGAGUUUUCCAUCUCUGUGUUCACAGAAGACGUCAUACACGCACUGGGGCAGCAACAGCACCAAAUCCGCACAAGCGAACGACACGUCCUCCUGUGAGGUCACCUGCACACGCACACACAUACUUCACGUGUUAUGCGAAGCCCUCGCUCAGUGUACGUGUAAGCCCCCUUUCUAUUCGGGAGUAGUCUCCCUGUGUAUGUGGCGGAUGUCUCACGUGCUCAUCGCGCCGCACGGAGCUCUAUAGACGUCUCUCUCGCUCUCCCUCUCCCACCAUUCUCUACUCCGCCGACGCCCCGCACGUCCAUGCACAUGCCUACCUCGCUAG
This 2084-nucleotide unclassified non-coding RNA is filed under the name Leishmania donovani. RNAcentral's name for it is "gene:LdHU3.15.1240(CDS-product:hypothetical_prote in_conserved)". The record is from RNAcentral. Lineage: Eukaryota; Euglenozoa; Kinetoplastea; Trypanosomatida; Trypanosomatidae.